AACUUAGAAAAACGGUACUCAGUUCGGAUUGAAGGCUGAAAUUCGCCUUCAUGAAGCUGGAAUUGCUAGUAAUGGCAGGUCAGCAUACUGCCGUGAAUACGUUCCCGGGCCUUGUACACACCGCCCGUCACACCAUGAGAGUUGGAAAUACCCGAAGCCUGUGAGCUAACUUUUAGAGGCAGCAGUCGAAGGUAGAGCCAAUGAUUGGGGUGAAGUCGUAACAAGGUAGC
This 230-nucleotide ribosomal RNA is filed under the name uncultured bacterium. RNAcentral's name for it is "partial 16S ribosomal RNA". It matches the Rfam family "Bacterial small subunit ribosomal RNA", at positions 1270 to 1500 of the family's 1533-position model. The record is from RNAcentral.